Molecule: non-coding RNA, 88 nt
Organism: Mesorhizobium sp. SOD10
Lineage: Bacteria; Pseudomonadati; Pseudomonadota; Alphaproteobacteria; Hyphomicrobiales; Phyllobacteriaceae
Source: Rfam
GGAGAGGUGGCCGAGUGGUCGAAGGCGCUCCCCUGCUAAGGGAGUAGAGGUCAAAAGCUUCUCGUGGGUUCGAAUCCCAUCCUCUCCG